This 235-nucleotide long non-coding RNA is filed under the name Setaria italica (foxtail millet). RNAcentral describes it as "long non-coding RNA (SITA_LNC005114)". Lineage: Eukaryota; Viridiplantae; Streptophyta; Magnoliopsida; Poales; Poaceae. The record is from RNAcentral.
UCAGCCUUGCUUGUGGCUAUCUUUUUCAGGUUUGCUAUUGUUUUGGGUGCUAGUCUUACUUGGCCUACCCAGCUCCCUCUGGGUUGGACGGUCAAGUGGGAUCCCUCCUCGGACGGCGAGGACAGGGGUCAUUGAUGCCAUGAUCGGCUUCGUCAUGAUAUCGUGUAUCGAUAAUUAGCUUUCGCUUGUUUUACUUCUUGUUAUUUACAACCUUGCAAACUCUAUUUGAAUUUUG